This is a long non-coding RNA of Felis catus (domestic cat), 2088 nucleotides long. RefSeq lists it as uncharacterized. The transcript has 2 exons. The record is from RefSeq and is a predicted model, not a curated record. NCBI's taxonomy places the organism in Eukaryota, Metazoa, Chordata, Mammalia, Carnivora, Felidae.
AGCACAGAGCCCAAUGUGGGGCUCGAACUCACCAACCAGGAGAUCAUGACCUGAGCCGAAGUUGGAAUCUUAACCAACUGAGCCACCCAGGCGCCCAGAAGAGUCUGGAUUUUUAAAAACUAAAUUAUGUCAGCAUUGUUUUUGAGGUCUGGGGCAUUACUCUUGGUCAAAACAUUAAUAUUUUUGUAGCAAGACGUGAAUAUUCAUGUUAAGUGAAUGCAUUAUGACCAUCAAUGGCCACAUGAGUUCAGGUCACCUGUGGCUGCCAGGUGAGUUUCCUGUAAGCCUAUGAAAAAAGUUUUCUCAGAACUUUCUGUUGUUUGGAAUUGUGGGUAAGACUCUUUCCAGUGGGAAGUGUGGUGCCCGAGAGCUGGAGGCUCCUGCUGGCCGUCCCUUUGUCCCUCAGGCUUCAAAGCCAGGUUGGGUUCUGGUCAUUGUCUUGUGGGAGGUGGUCUGGUCGCAGACUUGCUGGCAGGGAUGGCCCCUAAGGUGAAUGGUGCGAGCUGGGCUGUGCUCUGGUGACAGUGAGUGACAGGUCUGGACGGAAAGCACCGCAGGCUGGUGUUACUCGUGUCUGGGAAAUGGAGGUGGGCCGGCUCAGCCCGUGUUACCCGCACUUUGCCCUUUAGGUUCCCAGAGCAGCUGCCGGGGGCUGAGCAGGGGGGCCGGUCCCCCGGGCUCCAGGGCAGCGAGGGCCUAGCCUUCCCGGGUUCGCUUGGUGGUGGGCGGGCCCUGGAGCAUCCGGGAAAAGCAGCCCCCAGGAUGGGCGGUUCACGUCGGCGGGCCUGCCAGGCAGCGUGGGUAGCUCCCGGCCCCCGCACCGCCGGGGAGACUGCACCCAGCUGGGGCGGAGCAGGGUGGUGGGGGGGGGCUCCUGUAGCCAGGGGUGCGGGCUGCCCACACGCACCCACUCGAGGGCACUGAGGACGACAGGACAGGCCUUGGCCCCAGCCUCCCGCCGGACACCUGGAGCCUCUGAGCAGACACCACGGAUUCUAGGCUGUGCCUCUUGACAGGUUGGAUCCUGACACGAGAUGACAUGGGGUGUCCAGCUUGGGUGGGUGCUCAGCCCGGUAGUCCCGGUCCUCGGGCCUCACUGGCCCCUGGAGGGGAUGCUGGCCCAGCUGUGAGGCCCGGCUCGCCCCUGCCCCCCCGCUGUUUCCUUGGACAUUCUGACCGAACGUGUGAACUGGUGUGGUUCCCGGGACUUCAGCUGUAGGUGGAACGUUGCUAGAGGCCAGGAGGAAGGACAGUGGCACCUGGGUGGUGCCAUAACUCCCAACUGGUACAGGGCCGCGCGGCUGCUUCCAGCUGCUCUGUUAGUGGCUUGAUUAGCAUCAGUAGUUGCAGGAGUUGUGGGCAGGGAUUGUGGACAGAGCAGGUGUGUUCCCUGCCCGGGGCAGCCUGUCCAGUCUGUGUGUGGGGACACAGCUGGUGGCCACAGCCUCACCCCUGACUUUGGCAGCAUGGCCUUAGGUGCUUUUUCUGGUGGGGCAGGUCUAAGGUGGGCCCCGCGCAGCUGUGUCCGGACUCCCACGGGCAGGGGCAGCCAUGGGAGGGCCCGAGAGCAGUGUAGCGACCCGACCGCCUUUGCAGUCCUUAGAAAGGCGACUCCUGAGCGGCUCAGUCAGUUAAACAAGUCUGACUCUUGAUUUCGGCUCAGGUCAUGACCUCCAGGUUCGUGGGUUCGAGCUCCGUGCCAGGUUCUUGUGCUGACAGUGCAGAGACUGCUUGGGAUCCUCUCUCCCCCCUCUCUGCUGGUGCGUGCUCUCAAGGAAAGCUGUGUCCAGAACUUUCCAGAAGUAGCCUAAGGAGCAGAGGCAGAGCUGAGCACACGGCUCUUGCUUCCCACCUUUGGGAGCAAGCCUUUGAAAAGGACCCUGGAAUGUGAGUGGUGACUUCAGAUGACUGAACCUGUGCUCGCGUGGCUCAUGAUUGGGGUGAUAGCCCGGAGGCGCCUUGUGGUAAUUGUGUGUUGUGCGCAUUGAAGGUAAACUUGACUUUUUGAAGAAACAGGUUAAAUUUUCAAGAUACAUGCUGCCUUUUUUUCUUUUCUUUUUUUUUUAAGUGAUUUUAUUUUUGAGAGAG